AUGAUCCCCUUUUCACUCCAUAUCUCUCUCCCUUUCCGAAACUUCAUAUCUUACCUAUUUGUUGCAGUUCAUUGAACCUAGUCACAGUUAACCAAGCUUUCACCCUCUUUUUGUCCCUACCUCCCUAUUGCUUCCUUUCUUUUACUUUUUCAUUCCUUUUUUCAUCUAUAUUCUGUCCUUUUGCAAAACAUCCACCACUCUUUUCUUUUAGUCUUUGCUUUUCCUCAACCACAACCGACCAUAGCACCACCCUCAUAAAACC
This 262-nucleotide long non-coding RNA is filed under the name Gossypium raimondii (Peruvian cotton). Its description in RNAcentral is "long non-coding RNA (GRAI_LNC002191)". Lineage: Eukaryota; Viridiplantae; Streptophyta; Magnoliopsida; Malvales; Malvaceae. The record is from RNAcentral.